This 1360-nucleotide ribosomal RNA is filed under the name uncultured bacterium. RNAcentral describes it as "bacterial SSU rRNA". It matches the Rfam family "Bacterial small subunit ribosomal RNA", at positions 28 to 1381 of the family's 1533-position model. The record is from RNAcentral.
GAUGAACGCUAGCGGCAGGCUUAACACAUGCAAGUCGAGGGGUAACAGGGAGUGCUUGCACUCUGCUGACGACCGGCGCACGGGUGCGUAACGCGUAUGCAACCUACCUUCUACAGGGGGAUAGUCCAGAGAAAUUUGGCAUAAUACCCCAUACGAUCAUUUAUUGGCAUCGAUAGAUGAGGAAAACUCCGGUGGUAGAAGAUGGGCAUGCGUCCUAUUAGUUAGUUGGUAAGGUAACGGCUUACCAAGACAUCGAUAGGUAGGGGUCCUGAGAGGGAGAUCCCCCACACUGGUACUGAGACACGGACCAGACUCCUACGGGAGGCAGCAGUGAGGAAUAUUGGACAAUGGAGGCAACUCUGAUCCAGCCAUGCCGCGUGCAGGAAGACGGCCCUACGGGUUGUAAACUGCUUUUAUACAGGAAGAAACGCCGCUACGUGUAGCGGUUUGACGGUACUGUACGAAUAAGGAUCGGCUAACUCCGUGCCAGCAGCCGCGGUAAUACGGAGGAUCCAAGCGUUAUCCGGAAUCAUUGGGUUUAAAGGGUCCGUAGGCGGUUUUUUAAGUCAGAGGUGAAAUCCUGCAGCUCAACUGUAGCAUUGCCUUUGAUACUGAAAGACUUGAGUUAUUGUGAAGUAGUUAGAAUGUGUAGUGUAGCGGUGAAAUGCAUAGAUAUUACACAGAAUACCGAUUGCGAAGGCAGAUUACUAACAAUAUACUGACGCUGAGGGACGAAAGCGUGGGUAGCGAACAGGAUUAGAUACCCUGGUAGUCCACGCCGUAAACGAUGGAUACUAGCUGUUCGACCAACAUUGGUUGGUUGAGUGGCUAAGCGAAAGUGAUAAGUAUCCCACCUGGGGAGUACGCUCGCAAGAGUGAAACUCAAAGGAAUUGACGGGGGCCCGCACAAGCGGUGGAGCAUGUGGUUUAAUUCGAUGAUACGCGAGGAACCUUACCAGGGCUUAAAUGUAAGUUGCAUAGAUCAGAGAUGGUCUUUUCUUCGGACUACUUACAAGGUGCUGCAUGGUUGUCGUCAGCUCGUGCCGUGAGGUGUCAGGUUAAGUCCUAUAACGAGCGCAACCCCUGUCGUUAGUUGCCAGCAAGUAAAGUUGGGCACUCUAGCGAGACUGCCGGUGCAAACCGCGAGGAAGGUGGGGAUGACGUCAAAUCAUCACGGCCCUUACGUCCUGGGCUACACACGUGCUACAAUGGCCGGUACAGAGAGCAGCCACUCCGCGAGGAGGAGCGAAUCUAUAAAACCGGUCUCAGUUCGGAUCGCAGUCUGCAACUCGACUGCGUGAAGCUGGAAUCGCUAGUAAUCGGAUAUCAGCCAUGAUCCGGUGAAUACGUUCCCGGGCCU